AUUGAACGCUGGCGGCAUGCCUUACACAUGCAAGUCGAACGGCAGCACGGGAGCAAUCCUGGUGGCGAGUGGCGAACGGGUGAGUAAUAUAUCGGAACGUGCCCAGUCGUGGGGGAUAACGUAGCGAAAGCUACGCUAAUACCGCAUACGAUCUAUGGAUGAAAGCGGGGGAUCGCAAGACCUCGCGCGAUUGGAGCGGCCGAUAUCAGAUUAGGUAGUUGGUGAGGUAAGGGCUCACCAAGCCGACGAUCUGUAGCUGGUCUGAGAGGACGACCAGCCACACUGGGACUGAGACACGGCCCAGACUCCUACGGGAGGCAGCAGUGGGGAAUUUUGGACAAUGGGCGCAAGCCUGAUCCAGCAAUGCCGCGUGCAGGAUGAAGGCCUUCGG
Molecule: ribosomal RNA, 391 nt
Filed under: uncultured bacterium
Lineage: Bacteria
Description: bacterial SSU rRNA
Rfam family: Bacterial small subunit ribosomal RNA
Source: RNAcentral